This is a non-coding RNA of Kogia breviceps (pygmy sperm whale), 699 nucleotides long. Lineage: Eukaryota; Metazoa; Chordata; Mammalia; Artiodactyla; Physeteridae. The record is from RefSeq and is a predicted model, not a curated record.
AUUGCAAAAGUUUAAUUGAAUUAUUAAAAGGACAUUCUAAGUUUGUUUCUGAAAUUUAUCACAGUAUUCUAUCUUUAGAUGAAGAUCAGCUGUCCCAUGACCUACAACCAGGUCAUAAUCACGUAUGCUGAAAAAGACACCAUUCAAAGCACUCUCUCCAACAUAGAUGGAAGGGCCCUUAUCAGCCACCGAAAUCUCUGCUUGGUUGCUUCAGUGGUCAGCUAAUGUUUGCACAGAGAUCGCCUUAAAUACCUGCAACCAAUAUCUGCUAAAUAUCUCCCUUCUCUCUGAGAAAUGCCUUGUGAAUGAGAACCGUUGCCUGCCAUAUUGGUAAACAAAGGAUGUUGCAGCCAUCAAGCCACUGCAGAUGACCCAAGAGUGAGCCCUGACGGAACUCAGGAUGGAGACAAACAGGCUGCCCGCUGCCAUGCCCUCAGCCACUGCAGCUGCCACCAACUGUGCACCCUGAGAGGACUCAGGAUGGGAAAGAACUGGCACCAGAGAGCUAAGGUUCUUAAUCAAAGUAAUGAUUUCAACGAGCCCAGACUCUUGAAUCUUUCACACAUAGAAAAGUGCUAAAUUCAUUAACUUGAGAUGUCUAUUUUUCUGAUUAAUUAACAGUAAUCUUUUGAAGUUCCAACUACCUAGUUAGUCUUUGUUGCAAAACCUCCUAUAUAUCCCAGCUCCUCCCUUACCUCU